RNAcentral lists this transfer RNA (75 nucleotides) under Hordeum vulgare. RNAcentral describes it as "tRNA-Pro". It matches the Rfam family "tRNA". From Rfam's summary of the family: Transfer RNA (tRNA) molecules are approximately 80 nucleotides in length. Their secondary structure includes four short double-helical elements and three loops (D, anti-codon, and T loops). The record is from RNAcentral. RNAcentral also lists the same sequence under 1 other name. Lineage: Eukaryota; Viridiplantae; Streptophyta; Magnoliopsida; Poales; Poaceae.
CGAGGUGUAGCGCAGUCUGGUCAGCGCAUCUGUUUUGGGUACAGAGUGCCAUAGGUUCGAAUCAUGUCACCUUGA